AUGAUUAUGAGUUUAUACAUUUCAUUUGCUAAGCUUUCAAAACUCACAGUUUUCACCUGUGUAAAAAUCAAUACAAAUUUCAGCUUUUCUUACAUGAUAACAGCAAAUAAUUUCGACACUGCAUCAAUAAUUGAACUUAAAUAAUUUAAAGAGGAACAACAUUUUCCAUUUAAGAUUCAUCUUAAAUGCAAUCAAGCUCUUUUGGACAACAAGUGACAAGUGUCUGGCCGUUUAGUACAUCUCAAAGAUGUUGCUUUGAGUUUGCUGGUACUCAUACUUUUGUGAGGUACUGUUUAAGCUGCAUACAGAUCGAACUACCUUUUCAACGCAUUUACAGGGUAUGCCGAAUUGUGCACACAUUGCAAAUGCCGUAGGACAGCUGAAAUGUGGAGCUGUGAAUGGCAAGUGGCAAUUGAAGGGAGGGAAACGGUGAAGGGUGAAGGGUAAGGGGGAGCGGAAGCCUACUGUUGGGCCAGCAACUCUGGCAAUCGCAUGCAAUUUCUGCCACUUUGUUGCUGCCUCGCAGCAACCCAAACAUGUGACCAGACAUCGAAGCAACUGCAAAACCCGGCUAUAAACUCAAACCAAGACUCGAUACACGCACUGACAGCAGGCGUUUUUUUUUCGCUCGUUGUUGUUGUUAUUUGCCAUGUGUGUGUGUGUGUGUGUGUGUGUUUUUUCGUAGCUGUUGCUGCAUUUAAUUUACUGUUUUUUGUGCUGCACUGGCAAAUGUCAAAUGUUGGCACGAUAAUCGCUGUUGCUGCUGCUGCUGCUGCUGCUGCUGCAACUCGGACUCUAAUGUAAUGAGGCACGAAACCUUUAAAGCGACGACCAAAUUGCCUUUAAAUAAGUAUCAUCUUACGCUCCAAUCGCAUGCUUCUAAGUGUAUGUGUGUGUGUGUAGAGUGGCAAGUUGACAAGCGAUGCAAGCGAUAACAGAGACAGGCUAUAGGCAAAGGGUUCCCAACUCGUGGAAUAAUUGAUAGCAACAUCAACUGUGCUCGCAGAUCUGAUCUAAAUAAUGAUCAAGAUAGCAAAAGAACAAGGACAACGCAGCAUAGAUUCUUUAAUUAUAUCAAUUAAACUCGGUAUAAA
Molecule: long non-coding RNA, 1094 nt
Organism: Drosophila sulfurigaster albostrigata
Lineage: Eukaryota; Metazoa; Arthropoda; Insecta; Diptera; Drosophilidae
Exons: 3
Source: RefSeq, a predicted model, not a curated record